This 333-nucleotide ribosomal RNA is filed under the name Babesia bigemina. Its description in RNAcentral is "SSU rRNA". It matches the Rfam family "Eukaryotic small subunit ribosomal RNA", at positions 483 to 883 of the family's 1831-position model. Lineage: Eukaryota; Apicomplexa; Aconoidasida; Piroplasmida; Babesiidae. The record is from RNAcentral.
CCGGCAGGGGCUUUGCGUCUUGUGAUUGGAUGACGGGCAUGUACAACCGCACCAGAGUACCAAUUGGAGGGCGAGGCUGGAGCUAGCGGGGGCGGUGAUUCCAGCUCCAAUAGCGUAUUGAAACUUGUUGCAGUUUAAAAGCUCGUAUUUGUAUUUCAGCCUCGCGUUUUUUCCCUUUUGUUGGGUCUUGUCACUACCUCCCUGUUUCCUUUGAGAAAAUUAGAGGGUUUCAUGCAGACUUUUGUCUUGAAUACUUCAGCAUGGAAUAAUAGAGUAGGACCUUGGUUCUAUUUUGUUGGUUUUGAGCCUUGGUAAUGGUUAAUAGGAACGGUU